Long non-coding RNA from Piliocolobus tephrosceles (Ugandan red Colobus), 216 nucleotides. RefSeq lists it as uncharacterized. The transcript has 3 exons. The record is from RefSeq and is a predicted model, not a curated record. NCBI's taxonomy places the organism in Eukaryota, Metazoa, Chordata, Mammalia, Primates, Cercopithecidae.
AGGUAUGUAUUGGAUGGAGGAGCAUUAUGUAUGGAACCUCUCACAAAACAGCUCUUACUUGCAAGAAUGAAAAAGGUAUCCCAGCACUUUGGGAGGCCCGGGCCGGCGGAUCACAAGGGCUGAAGCAGUGCCUACUCGAUAGAAUCAGUCAUCAUGCAAAUAAAUGCCAAAUGAGUCAAAGGCAAAGCGAACGUGCAGCUUGGAGCAAAGAAGGUA